CCUACCACAUUCAAGGAAAGGCAGCAGGGCGCGCAAAUUUCCCAAUCCCGACACGGGGAGGUAGUGACAAUAAAUACUGAUACAGGGCUCUUUUGGGUCUUGUAAUUGGAAUGAGUACAAUUUAAAUCCCUUAACGAGGAACAAUUGGAGGGCAAGUCUGGUGCCAGCAGCCGCGGUAAUUCCAGCUCCAAUAGCGUAUAUUAAAGUUGUUGCAGUUAAAAAGCUCGUAGUUGAACCUUGGGCCUGGCUGGCCGGUCCGCCUCACCGCGUGUACUGGUCCGGCCGGGCCUUUCCUUCUGGGGAACCUCAUGCCCUUCACUGGGCGUGUUGGGGAACCAGGACUUUUACUUUGAAAAAAUUAGAGUGUUCAAAGCAGGCCUUUGCUCGAAUACAUUAGCAUGGAAUAAUAGAAUAGGACGUGUGGUUCUAUUUUGUUGGUUUCUAGGACCGCCGUAAUGAUUAACAGGGAUAGUCGGGGGCAUCAGUAUUCAAUCGUCAGAGGUGAAAUUCUUGGAUUGAUUGAAGACUAACUACUGCGAAAGCAUUUGCCAAGGAUGUUUUCAUUAAUCAGUGAACGAAAGUUAGGGGAUCGAAGACGAUCAGAUACCGUCGUAGUCUUAACCAUAAACUAUGCCGACUAGGGAUCGGACGGUGUUAGUAUUUUGACCCGUUCGGCACCUUACGAGAAAUCAAAGUUUUGGGUUCUGGGGAGAUUGUGGCCU
This 722-nucleotide ribosomal RNA is filed under the name Cladosporium cladosporioides. Its description in RNAcentral is "SSU rRNA". It matches the Rfam family "Eukaryotic small subunit ribosomal RNA", at positions 406 to 1131 of the family's 1831-position model. The record is from RNAcentral. Lineage: Eukaryota; Fungi; Ascomycota; Dothideomycetes; Cladosporiales; Cladosporiaceae.